GUCGAGCGAGGGAUUUAUGACGGAUUCCUUCGGGAUGAAGACAUAAAUCACCUAGCGGCGGACGGGUGAGUAACGCGUGAGGAACCUACCUCCUACAAGGGGAUAGCCUCGGGAAACUGGGAUUAAUACCCUAUGACACUUAAGGAUCGCAUGAUCUUUAGGUUAAAGCGAUAUAGCGGUAGGAGAUGGCCUCGCGUCCCAUUAGCUAGUUGGUGAGGUAACGGCUUACCAAGGCGACGAUGGGUAGCCGGCCUGAGAGGGUGAACGGCCACACUGGAACUGAGACACGGUCCAGACUCCUACGGGAGGCAGCAGUGGGGAAUAUUGCACAAUGGGCGAAAGCCUGAUGCAGCGACGCCGCGUGAGCGAAGAAGGCCUUCGGGUCGUAAAGCUCUGUCCUAUGGGACGAUAAUGACGGUACCAUAGGAGGAAGCCCCGGCUAACUACGUGCCAGCAGCCGCGGUAAUACGUAGGGGGCGAGCGUUGUCCGGAAUUACUGGGCGUAAAGGGUACGUAGGCGGCUAGGUAAGUCAGAUGUGAAAUCCAUGGGCUCAACCCAUGUAAG
RNAcentral lists this ribosomal RNA (565 nucleotides) under uncultured bacterium. RNAcentral describes it as "bacterial SSU rRNA". It matches the Rfam family "Bacterial small subunit ribosomal RNA", at positions 61 to 622 of the family's 1533-position model. The record is from RNAcentral.